RNA transcript from Salvia splendens (bonfire salvia), 2256 nucleotides. RefSeq lists it as uncharacterized. The transcript has 4 exons. The record is from RefSeq and is a predicted model, not a curated record. Lineage: Eukaryota; Viridiplantae; Streptophyta; Magnoliopsida; Lamiales; Lamiaceae.
GUUUAGUGACGCAUAACCAUUAUGCGUCGUUGUUCAGUGCCGCAUAAGCAUUAUGCGUCUUUAAAUAAUGACGCAUAAGCAUUAUGCGUCUUUUCUUAGCGACGCAUAACACUUAUGCGUCUUUGGCCUGUGACGCAUAAAGCUUAUGCGUCUUCCGGCGGGUUUUAAAACAGGCAGUGAAGGCUUCUCACUUCGCAUCACAGACAGAACCCAAGCGACGAUUCCCAGCAAAUUCCGGCGAUUCCGAGCAAUUUCUGGUGAAUUUCCACCAUUUUGCAACCAUAUUCCGAUGACAUCUGCAAGUUCCGAAUAGCAGUUAUGUUAUGGACCUGAGGAUUCAUCAUUACUAUUUCAUCAAAACGAACACAUUUCAGCCUCAUUGUUGGCAAAUGGCACAACGUGUUGAGAGUUCGUAGGACGGAGAGUAAGGUUUGGGCAGUGCCAAUAUAUGAAAAUGUGAUGUAUUGGCUUGAUGUAUGGGGUUUCAGAGGCGUGGUUGAAUGUGGAAGGCCGAUGAGGAUGGACAAUGAGCUUAUAACUGCCUUGAUCGAGCGCUGGAGGCCUGAGACACACUGUUUCCACCUUCCAGUUGGUGAAGUUACCGUAACCUUACAUGAUGUGCAAAGCCUGUGGGGUUUGAGAGCAGACGGUCGUGUUUUCACUGGCCGUGACUACCCUGUUGGAUAUAAAGAGUGACCCAGCAAGUGUAGAGAUGUGUUGGGAUGGAUACCUGACUGAGAAACAAAAACGAAGCACGUUGGUUUGUUGAUGACAUCUCUGAUCCACCAAGCGACCAUGCUGUUGGGUGAUGGGCUGCAUGAUUAUGCAUACAUCCAAAGAGCACGCAUACAUGCUCUGAUCUUGUUAGGGGGGCUUAUUUUACCGGACACCACAGGAUGCAAGGUCCUCUUUAUGUGGUUAAAUGCCUUUGACGAUCCGGAAGAAGUAGCUAAUAUCAGUUGGGGUAGUGCUGCUUUAGCAUAUCUGUACCAUUAUUUGUGCGAGGCUUCUGUAGGCAGGCAAAGAAGAGAUGUGGGUGGACCUAUGGUUCUCUUGUAGCUAUGGGCGUGGGAAAGAAUGCCUACAUUGAGGUCAGCCUUCUUGAUAUCGCCUAUGCACACGCCGUAUACCCCGUGCGGAGCCAAGUGGCACGGAGUUACUGAAAUUCGUAAUGCUCCCCGACAUUCAGUAGCUCAUUAUCGUGAUCAAUUAUCACUGAUUCGUCCGGGCCAGAUUAAAUUUAUUUUUGUCGACUUAUUUAAUGAAUUUACUAUAGUAUGAAAUUAAUUGUGUUGUUCAUAUUAUUUUUUUGUAGUUUCUGUGGACACCGUAUGCAGAUUGUAUCAUGCCCGAUUACUGCAUUGAUCCGACUGCAUCCUUCUUGUGCGACACUUAUUUGGUGUGCUGGUCAUUUGUCGAGGCACACAAGGCUGGAUGCGUUUACCGACAACUUAACCGCUACCAACGUAUUCCUCAGUAUUGUGAUAGGAUGCUGCAUAAUGCCAGACAUCUGUGUAAAAGUUAUCGCCGUGGGAGGAAGGGCGCCGAUUGGGCUAAGGUACAUAAAUUCUUCAUUAAUGAAUGGGAUUUGAGACACGACAGGUUCCAAGCAACUUUUGACCAUGCCACGGCGACCAUGGAUGGUCGCAUUAAUCCGGGCUAUAUGGCGUGGUACAAUAGGAUCACAGUGUUGUACCUAGUUCAACCUGCGACACAGUCAACUAUUGGGAUGAACGAGUCAGCCUCUUCAAUGAAGAAAUUGGUUGAGACCCUUCAGGGGAUAUGGCAUUUGACCUCUGAACAUGACACAGAUACGGCAGAUUCGGGAAAUGGCUGCUAGGAUGUGAUGGAGUAUCCAACUUCGUACGACGGAUCAUACUGAUGUAAUGGAGUAUCCAACUUCGCAACGGCGAAAUGUGGUCAUGCCGCCAGGAAGAAGAUGACCAUGAAGACGAGGGCGGGGAAGAAGAUGAUGAAGUUAUAUUUCAACCACCGACCGAGGGAUCCUCACGUCCAACUGAGAAGAGUUCAUCAAGUAAGAUUGGGAAGGCUAUGCACAAUGUAUUAAGGGGGUUUUCCACAAGGAAGAACAAAGGGAAAGCUCCAACAAAGUUCACGCCUUCGGGGAAAUAAUAUUUCAACAAGGAAUAACAAUGUAUUGUUACAUUCAAAUAAUUUUUCUAUUAGUACUAAAAAAUAGUCAUCUAACAAUUUCUUGUUUCAACUUCAAUUCUUGCAAAAAUAAUUCUCAUUUUA